GCAAUUGCAGAUUCUCCAAGGCAGGAGCGGCCUAUGCCCGAGGGCUUCUCUGCCCCCCACCCCGCGCGCCCCAUUCCUUUUCCACACCAAGGAAUCACCCAUCCCAUCCCCCCCCCCCCCGUUUUAAAACCUGUGAUCCACUGGUAGCCAGAGGCUGCUGUGGUGUCUUCAGCUAUGGAUUCUGCCUGUGAGUCCCGGGGAGAAAAGUGCUGGCACCUCCGGAGCCGCUAGGCGACUCGAAGCUACCAGAAAGAGCUGCUUCACCCAGCUACUUACCCACAGCUGUCUGCCUUGAAGUGGGAGCUGUCAGCCAACUGGGCCCUUUGACAACUGCCAGACUACACUCAAGGCAGACAAUCUACUUUGAACAGCUGUGUCCCUCUAAGGAAACCCCCUGCAGCUGCAAGAGACCCUGCAACCACAGAGUCUCACACAGGACUCCAUGCUGAUCCACCAUGCAGCCAUGCCUGGCCUCAAAACUUAUGCCAAUUUUCUUGGCUCAAUCUCUUUUCAUAGAUCCUCGUGGGCUCUGAAGGUGUCUGAUAUGGGGGAAAACAUCCCUAAAACUCACUGAGCUGCUAGGCUGGAGCUCUUCAGGUCAGGUCCCUUCCAAAGCAAACUAUCCUGCUGGGACAAGUUGCAGCUCCUCGGUUUGCAAACAACAAUUUUGAAUUCAAAAUAAAGAAAUAAAUAAAUAAACAAACAACAGCUCCCUAUUUUAUGGCUGGGGAUUAGGGGAGACAGUUUGGCAUUUUGUACAACAUAAUGUGCACACUGGUACCUAAGCCAUCCUUGGUGUCUGCUAGCCAAUACCACAUCUGGGGUUCUGAUUGGAAAAUGGAGAAGGAAGAAUGAGCUGGAUGCCCAUUCCAUGUGGUGGAAAAAGAGAGCAGCACUGGAUACUGACAUUCCCUGCAUGGGAAUACAAAUAACUAACAAACACCAGUAUCUACAGAUGUCACGAACUGCCAUACUGACCAGGAGUCACCGUUCCAAACACUUCAUAUAACAGCCCUCAUCAAUCUUCAAAGGUAAGUAUCAUCACUAUCCCUAUUUUACAGAUGAUAAAUCCAGGGCUUAGAGAUAAUUAAGGCUUAUUUCUAGUACGGAUUU
Long non-coding RNA from Mus musculus (house mouse), 1113 nucleotides. RefSeq annotates it as predicted gene, 42406. NCBI's taxonomy places the organism in Eukaryota, Metazoa, Chordata, Mammalia, Rodentia, Muridae. The transcript has 4 exons. The record is from RefSeq and is a predicted model, not a curated record.